This 474-nucleotide ribosomal RNA is filed under the name uncultured organism. RNAcentral's name for it is "partial 16S ribosomal RNA". It matches the Rfam family "Bacterial small subunit ribosomal RNA", at positions 332 to 797 of the family's 1533-position model. The record is from RNAcentral.
UACACUCCUGCGGGAGGCAGCAGUGGGGAAUAUUGCACAAUGGGCGCAAGCCUGAUGCAGCCAUGCCGCGUGUAUGAAGAAGGCCUUCGGGUUGUAAAGUACUUUCAGCGGGGAGGAAGGCGAUAAGGUUAAUAACCUUGUUGAUUGACGUUACCCGCAGAAGAAGCACCGGCUAACUCCGUGCCAGCAGCCGCGGUAAUACGGAGGGUGCAAGCGUUAAUCGGAAUUACUGGGCGUAAAGCGCACGCAGGCGGUCUGUCAAGUCGGAUGUGAAAUCCCCGGGCUCAACCUGGGAACUGCAUUCGAAACUGGCAGGCUAGAGUCUUGUAGAGGGGGGUAGAAUUCCAGGUGUAGCGGUGAAAUGCGUAGAGAUCUGGAGGAAUACCGGUGGCGAAGGCGGCCCCCUGGACAAAGACUGACGCUCAGGUGCGAAAGCGUGGGGAGCAAACAGGAUUAGAUACCCCUGUAGUCCCA